This 264-nucleotide ribosomal RNA is filed under the name uncultured Gardnerella sp. Its description in RNAcentral is "partial 16S ribosomal RNA". It matches the Rfam family "Bacterial small subunit ribosomal RNA", at positions 258 to 525 of the family's 1533-position model. The record is from RNAcentral. Lineage: Bacteria; Bacillati; Actinomycetota; Actinomycetes; Bifidobacteriales; Bifidobacteriaceae.
UAAUGGCCCACCUAGGCUUCGACGGGGUAGCCGGCCUGAGAGGGCGGACGGCCACAUUGGGACUGAGAUACGGCCCAGACCCCUACGGGAGGCAGCAGUGGGGAAUAUUGCGCAAUGGGGAAAACCCUGACGCAGCGACGCCGCGUGCGGGAUGAAGGCCUUCGGGUUGUAAACCGCUUUUGAUUGGGGAGCAAGCCUUUUGGGGUGAGUGUACCUUUCGAAUAAGCGCCGGGCUAACUACGUGCCAGCAGCCGCGGGUAAAUA